ACGAACCGUAGAAGCUUCGAGGCCCACCCCUAAGAUGGGCGCUCAAGCCGCGGGCGGAGCCAGUGGCACAACCAGCUACACCUCGC
RNAcentral lists this non-coding RNA (86 nucleotides) under unclassified sequences. RNAcentral describes it as "c-di-GMP-II-AAA riboswitch". It matches the Rfam family "Cyclic di-GMP-II riboswitch aptamer". The record is from RNAcentral.